AGUGAACGCUGGCGGUAGGCCUAACACAUGCAAGUCGAACGGCAGCACAGUAAGAGCUUGCUCUUACGGGUGGCGAGUGGCGGACGGGUGAGGAAUACAUCGGAAUCUACUUUUUCGUGGGGGAUAACGUAGGGAAACUUACGCUAAUACCGCAUACGACCUACGGGUGAAAGCAGGGGAUCUUCGGACCUUGCGCGAUUGAAUGAGCCGAUGUCGGAUUAGCUAGUUGGCGGGGUAAAGGCCCACCAAGGCGACGAUCCGUAGCUGGUCUGAGAGGAUGAUCGGCCACACUGGAACUGAGACACGGUCCAGACUCCUACGGGAGGCAGCAGUGGGGAAUAUGGGACAAUGGGCGCAAGCCUGAUCCAGCCAUACCGCGUGGGUGAAGAAGGCCUUCGGGUUGUAAAGCCCUUUUGUUGGGAAAGAAAAGCAGCAGGUUAAUACCCCGCUGUUCUGACGGUACCCAAAGAAUAAGCACCGGCUAACUUCGUG
RNAcentral lists this ribosomal RNA (492 nucleotides) under uncultured bacterium. Its description in RNAcentral is "partial 16S ribosomal RNA". It matches the Rfam family "Bacterial small subunit ribosomal RNA", at positions 29 to 507 of the family's 1533-position model. The record is from RNAcentral.